RNAcentral lists this ribosomal RNA (516 nucleotides) under uncultured bacterium. RNAcentral describes it as "partial 16S ribosomal RNA". It matches the Rfam family "Bacterial small subunit ribosomal RNA", at positions 899 to 1397 of the family's 1533-position model. The record is from RNAcentral.
ACUCAAAGGAAUUGACGGGGGCUCACACAAGCGGUGGAGCAUGUGGCUUAAUUCGAGGCUACGCGAAGAACCUUAUCCUGGGCUUGACAUGUGCGAAAGCGCCCGCAGGUAGGACCCGGAAACGGGGACGAACGGUAUCCAAUCCGGAAGCGGGCACAGGUGCUGCAUGGCUGUCGUCAGCUCGUGUCGUGAGAUGUCGGGUUAAGUCCCAUAACGAGCGAAACCCUUACCCUCAGUUGCUACCCGCAAGGGGCACUCUGGGGGGACUGCCGGUGUCAAACCGGAGGAAGGCGGGGAUGACGUCAAGUCCUCAUGGCCUUUAUGCCCAGGGCUGCACACGUGCUACAAUGGCGUGAACAGAGUGACGCGAGCCCGCGAGGGGGAGCCAAUCACAGAAAACACGCCCCAGUUCAGAUCGGAGGCUGCAACUCGCCUCCGUGAAGCCGGAAUCGCUAGUAAUCGCGGGUCAGCAACACCGCGGUGAAUGUGUUCCUGAGCCUUGCACACACCGCCCGU